GACGAACGCUGGCGGCGUGCUUAACACAUGCAAGUCGAACGGAAAGGCCCUGCUUUUGUGGGGUGCUCGAGUGGCGAACGGGUGAGUAACACGUGAGUAACCUGCCCUUGACUUUGGGAUAACUUCGGGAAACUGGGGCUAAUACCGGAUAGGAGCUCCUGCUGCAUGGUGGGGGUUGGAAAGUUUCGGCGGUUGGGGAUGGACUCGCGGCUUAUCAGCUUGUUGGUGGGGUAGUGGCUUACCAAGGCUUUGACGGGUAGCCGGCCUGAGAGGGUGACCGGCCACAUUGGGACUGAGAUACGGCCCAGACUCCUACGGGAGGCAGCAGUGGGGAAUAUUGCACAAUGGGCGGAAGCCUGAUGCAGCAACGCCGCGUGCGGGAUGACGGCCUUCGGGUUGUAAACCGCUUUCGCCUGUGACGAAGCGUGAGUGACGGUAAUGGGUAAAGAAGCACCGGCUGACUACGUG
This 468-nucleotide ribosomal RNA is filed under the name uncultured bacterium. RNAcentral describes it as "partial 16S ribosomal RNA". It matches the Rfam family "Bacterial small subunit ribosomal RNA", at positions 28 to 507 of the family's 1533-position model. The record is from RNAcentral.